RNAcentral lists this long non-coding RNA (1057 nucleotides) under Homo sapiens (human). Its description in RNAcentral is "non-protein coding DARS-AS1:57". Lineage: Eukaryota; Metazoa; Chordata; Mammalia; Primates; Hominidae. The record is from RNAcentral.
CCGUUCUGGGCUUCUGGCUGCAUUCUAGGAAGAUCAUUCCUUAAAAGAAAUAGCCAUAUGGCUUAUAAGACAUGGAAUAAACUUGACAAGUGCUAAAGAUGCUCUUUGAUUUUUGUGUGGCAUGAGACCUCAGGCUGAAACUUCUCAUCUGAGCCAUUGAAGGGAGCCUCUCAUCUCUCCACCGAGAGGGGAGACCAGAAUGCUCUGUUUCUGGCAGGAAUCUGACACCACUUACUCCUUGGGUAGAAACUCCCCCAAGUCUGAACUAUGUGAUUGCCUGAGCCCUGCUUCUUGUUCAUUAAGACUGCUCCUCUGAAACGGAAUUGAUGAAUUUUUAGUGGCUAUUAGAAGCAUUUGGGAUCCAUAGGCAUCAGGGUUUGAUGCAUGGCCCUCAUCUCUGUGGGCUCCUGUGCAAUGAUUCUCAUCUGUCUUAGUUAGAAAGUGAAUUAAUCUUGACCUUGGCCUCAGGGGUGUGGUUCUCUGCCCUCUUACACAUCUUCAAUUCGCUUCUUUAUCAGAAGCACUUGUUUUAGGCCCAGGCUCCCCCAAUUUUAAUGACAUUUAGACAUUUGUCUUUAAGUUACAUUGCUUUGAUUUUAAUCAAAAUCUAUAUUUCUAGUAUUAUAUGUUUCCAGAAAGUUCUCAUUCUGGAUUGUAAUUUAAUUACAUGGAUCAUUAAAGCUUUGAAGGAUGCUAAUGGGCAGAAAAAAGAGACUUAACAAAACGAAAGUUAUUAUUAGGAAUUACAAAUCACUUAACAUUUCAACAUCACUCGUCGGAUGUGGGCAUUUUGUUGAAAGAGACCUUGUUUUGAACAGUGACAGUGCAGAAGACCUAUGGAAGAAACAAGCUUCCAACUUGAUUUCUAUUGUUAUGCAUGCAUAGCAAAUUAUUAAUUCUAUUCUAAUAGGGUAAUAGAUUUAGAAAUACUAUUAGCAGAAAACUUGAUGUAUUAGGCAAUACUACAUACCACAUUAGUCUAACCGCUCAACUGUAAUUUUUCAUCCAUACUUUCUUGGGAUGUAAAUAAAAUUGAUAUUAUACAAUGAAAAUAAAA